GCAAGUCGAGCGCGCCCUUCGGGGUGAGUAGAGUGGCGCACGGGAGAGUAAUGCAUAGGAACGUACCUUAAAGUUUGGGAUAACCACUGGAAACGGUGGCUAAUACCAGAUGUGGAAGCAAUUCUAAAGGUGGCCUCUAUUUAUAAGCUACCGCUUUAAGAUCGGCCUAUGUCCCAUUAGCUUGUUGGUAAGGUAACGGCUUACCAAGGCUACGAUGGGUAGCUGGUCUGAGAGGAUGAUC
RNAcentral lists this ribosomal RNA (241 nucleotides) under uncultured bacterium. Its description in RNAcentral is "partial 16S ribosomal RNA". It matches the Rfam family "Bacterial small subunit ribosomal RNA", at positions 57 to 305 of the family's 1533-position model. The record is from RNAcentral.